This 21-nucleotide microRNA is filed under the name Oryza sativa (Asian cultivated rice). RNAcentral describes it as "osa-miR5515". The record is from miRBase by way of RNAcentral. Lineage: Eukaryota; Viridiplantae; Streptophyta; Magnoliopsida; Poales; Poaceae.
CCGAUGGUUGUUCUACAGGUG